CAUCGCUCAACGGAUAAAAGCUACCCCGGGGAUAACAGGCUUAUCUCCCCCAAGAGUCCACAUCGACGGGGAGGUUUGGCACCUCGAUGUCGGCUCAUCGCAUCCUGGGGCUGUAGUCGGUCCCAAGGGUUGGGCUGUUCGCCCAUUAAAGCGGUACGCGAGCUGGGUUCAGAACGUCGUGAGACAGUUCGGUCCCUAUCCGUCGUGGGCGUAGGAAAUUUGAGAGGAGCUGUCCUUAGUACGAGAGGACCGGGAUGGACGCACCGCUGGUGUACCAGUUGUUCUGCCAAGGGCAUAGCUGGGUAGCUAUGUGCGGAAGGGAUAAGUGCUGAAAGCAUCUAAGCAUGAAGCCCCCCUCAAGAUGAGAUUUCCCAUAGCGUAAGCUAGUAAGAUCCCUGAAAGAUGAUCAGGUUGAUAGGUUCGAGGUGGAAGCAUGGUGACAUGUGGAGCUGACGAAUACUAAUAGAUCGAGGACUUAACCAUA
Molecule: ribosomal RNA, 484 nt
Filed under: Salmonella enterica subsp. enterica serovar Dublin
Lineage: Bacteria; Pseudomonadati; Pseudomonadota; Gammaproteobacteria; Enterobacterales; Enterobacteriaceae
Description: partial 23S ribosomal RNA
Rfam family: Bacterial large subunit ribosomal RNA
Source: RNAcentral